GAUGAAGAACGUAGCGAAAUGCGAUAACUAGUGUGAAUUGCAGAAUUCCGUGAAUCAUCGAGUCUUUGAACGCACAUUGCGCCCCCUGGUAUUCCGGGGGGCAUGCCUGUCCGAGCGUCAUUGCUGCCCAUCAAGCACGGCUUGUGUGUUGGGUCGUCGUCCCCCCCUCCGGGGGGGGACGGGCCCUAAAGGCAGCGGCGGCACCGCGUCCGAUCCUCGAGCGUAUGGGGCUUUGUCACCCGCUCUGUAGGCCCGGCCGGCGCUUGCCGAACGCAAAACAACCAUUCUUUCCAGGUUGACCUCGGAUCAGGUAGGGAUACCCGCUGAACUUAAGCAUAUCAAUAAGCGGGGGA
RNAcentral lists this unclassified non-coding RNA (353 nucleotides) under soil metagenome. RNAcentral's name for it is "partial contains 5.8S ribosomal RNA, internal transcribed spacer 2, and large subunit ribosomal RNA". The stretch from base 1 to 120 matches the Rfam family "5.8S ribosomal RNA", at positions 35 to 154 of the family's 154-position model. The record is from RNAcentral.